AACGAACGCUGGCGGCAUGCCUAACACAUGCAAGUCGAACGAGACCUUCGGGUCUAUUUGCGCACGGGUGCGUAACGCGUGGGAAUCUGCCCUUGGGUUCGGGAUAUCAGUUGGAAACGACUGCUAAUACCGGAUGAUGACGUAAGUCCAAAGAUUUAUCGCCCAGGGUUGAGCCUGAGUAGGCUUAGCUCGUUGGUGGGGUAAAGGCCUACCAAGGCACAGUUCCUCAGCUGGUCGGAGAGGAUGAUCAGCCACCCUGGGAAUGAGGCACGGCCCAGACUCGUACGGGAGGUGGGAGGGGGGAAUAGUGGACGACUGGAGAAGUUCUGACCCAGCCCUGACGCGCGAGAGAUGAAGGCAGUAGGGAAGGAAAGCGCUCGUACCCGGGAUGAUAAUGACAGUACCGGGAGAAUAAGCCCCGGCUAACUCCGUG
This 433-nucleotide ribosomal RNA is filed under the name uncultured bacterium. RNAcentral describes it as "partial 16S ribosomal RNA". It matches the Rfam family "Bacterial small subunit ribosomal RNA", at positions 29 to 507 of the family's 1533-position model. The record is from RNAcentral.